RNAcentral lists this transfer-messenger RNA (351 nucleotides) under Thalassovita mangrovi. It matches the Rfam family "Alphaproteobacteria transfer-messenger RNA". Rfam says of the family: Bacterial tmRNA, also known as 10Sa RNA or SsrA, is named for its dual tRNA and mRNA-like properties. The record is from RNAcentral. Lineage: Bacteria; Pseudomonadati; Pseudomonadota; Alphaproteobacteria; Rhodobacterales; Roseobacteraceae.
CCCCUUUUCAGCCCCGCUUAUCACCCCUAUAUAUCUCCUGUCCCCUCGGGGACUAUGGACAUAAACGCGCUCGUAAUAAGCGGAUCGGACCCGGGGGCGGUACCCGGCGGCUCCACCAAAAAUCCUUCGUUUGGGGAUCAUGGGGCCGAAACAGGAUCGACGAACGUCUAAAGGGGUUAGCUUUGUCUCGGCUGUCUGCCACCGUUACCGGCGAAAACAGUACAAUUGCAAACGACAAUCGUGCUCCGGUCGCAAUGGCUGCGUAAGCAGUCGGAGUAACCGAAACUUAAGUCCUUGCGCCUAGCAGCGUAAGGCGGGGUUCGCAGGUACCUGGCAACAGAAACCUGCAUU